GACGAACGCUGGCGGCGUGCCUAAUACAUGCAAGUCGAACGAGAGCAACCGGUGCUUGCACUGGUCAAUCUAGUGGCGAACGGGUGAGUAACACGUGGGUAACCUGCCCAUCAGAGGGGGAUAACAUCCGGGAACGGAUGCUAAAACCGCAUAGGUCUUCGAACCGCAUGGUUUGAAGAGGAAAAGAGGCGCAAGCUUCUGCUGAUGGAUGGACCCGCGGUGCAUUAGCUAGUUGGUGAGGUAACGGCUCACCAAGGCCGUGAUGCAUAGCCGACCUGAGAGGGUGAUCGGCCACAUUGGGACUGAGACACGGCCCAAACUCCUACGGGAGGCAGCAGUAGGGAAUCUUCCGCAAUGGACGCAAGUCUGACGGAGCAACGCCGCGUGAGUGAAGAAGGGUUUCGGAUCGUAAAACUCUGUUGUUAGAGAAGAACAAGUGCUAGAGUAACUGUUAGCGCCUUGACGGUAUCUAACCAGAAAGCCACGGCUAACUACGUG
This 498-nucleotide ribosomal RNA is filed under the name uncultured bacterium. RNAcentral's name for it is "partial 16S ribosomal RNA". It matches the Rfam family "Bacterial small subunit ribosomal RNA", at positions 28 to 507 of the family's 1533-position model. The record is from RNAcentral.